AACCAGGAAACAAAGACAUAAAUAAGUCAAAGACUUGCUCUGGUAAUAACAAUAAUUGCAUUUCUGUGACUCCAACUUCCACCUCUUCUAAGAGGAUUGCAGCAAAAAUAUUUCUUCUCCAACACAUCCAACAGCCUCAGGUACAGGUGCCCCAGUAAUGGCUGGUGCAGGAGGGGCACCAAUCCCAGAACAGCAAGCUCAGGUAUUCCAGUCAAGAUGGGUGGGCUCUACAUAGACAUCAAUCUGGCCUUGCUUGCUGGUGUCGCAUCCUUACAGCAACAGGAUUUCAGGUAUGCUCUGGCCCUGGCCUGAGCCCCUGCUGCCAGGAGGCAGGGAGAACACCACUGAAGAAGUCCUUGUGCCUUUCAUGUGUGAUUUUGUCCAGUAGCCCUGACAGUGGUGAAUGCCAACAGAACAUUGCUCCAAUGUGUGAUUUCUGUGCCUUUGAGUCUAAAAGUGAUGUGUUUCCCCAGGAGGCUUGCUGAAGAGUAAAAGAAGAUGAGGCUCCUCUGGAGAAGGGUCAGUGCAGCAGAAACAUGGUGAGCUCCAUCCACCCAGGGCCACCUCCAGCCAGCCUGCCUCUGGGUUGGCUCCUGCACUGCUUGCAGAAACUGGGACUGGGAUGAGGGCCUUGCCUGCUAAGGAAGAUGGAGAGAUAUCCUUUAAAACAAGGUUUCAUGUGUAUAACCUCAAGUCUUGUGUUUCUUCUGAUUGAUUCUGGUUAUUCCAGAAUUUCUGCAUGUCUGUUCCAUAUGCAGAUUUCACAAGCAUUCGUUGAGAAGAUCAUUGAAGGCCACCUGGGACAUAUCUUAGAAAAUGAGUAAGUUUCCUUAUCUUUUGUCAAAAUAUUCAUCAGUUUCCAAGACUGCAUAGAUACUCUAACAUACACUGUGACUGGUGUACUCAAAGUUUAUCUUGCCUGCCUGAUCUGAGGUCAGUUGGAAGUUGAACACAGGUAGCAAACAAGACAUUUUUCUUCCAUGUAUACAACAUAUUUUUAAAGGGCAAUUUUCAUUGCAGAAAUAUUUUGCAUAUGUUAUAUCAUUUGCAUAAGAUUUAAGAGUGGUUUUAUAAUGAAUAUAAACCUUUUACCUUAAUGGUUCUUACAAUAAUGUAAAAGAAAAAUGCUAACUUACACAUUGUUAUAAUUCUUUUAUAUCUACAGCCUUUUUCUAUAUUCCCAAUUGUUUAAGAAAACUAUUUCAAGAACAAAUAUUCUUUCUGGAAAAUUGCCAUUUUCCAUUUGUUAGGAAUUUUUAUAGAACACCACCAAUAUAUGCCCUUUCUUUUACUAUGGAAUAUGUGCUGGAAAAAUUGCAGCAAACCAUUACUAC
RNAcentral lists this long non-coding RNA (1334 nucleotides) under Marmota monax (woodchuck). Lineage: Eukaryota; Metazoa; Chordata; Mammalia; Rodentia; Sciuridae. The record is from RNAcentral.